AAAAUAAAAUCUUAACUGCAAUUGCUACCUGUGCAUUUGUUUAUUUUUCAGGCCAAAAUCUUUUGAAAAUUUCAAAAUAUCUGAUCAUUUAUUUUUGGACAACCGAAAAACUUUUAUGUACUUUAGUCUUGAAACAUUGCUACAUCUCACUACAAGCGAUGAUUCUUGUGAAGGUUGCAAUGCUUUUGCAUUUAAUCAAUUUAUUCAUCAGCAAACAGGAGUAUUGGUGAAAAAAGAUCCUUUAAUAAAACAAUCAUAAUUUUCGUAUGAUUUUAAAAAUAUAAUGAAUGCAUGCAAGACUUAAAUAGAAAUGAAAUUGUAGAGUCAAAGCAUAAAAAGGAAUCCAGUAAUGUAAAAUGAAGAAAUUUUCUCUUGUUCUACUUGCAAUAUUUAAAGAGAAGACAAAUCUUAUGAACUGAGGAUUAUUCUUGUUAUUAAUAGCUCAUGUAUUUUAUCUUAUUUCAUUUAUAACAUAUGCUUUAUAUAACUGUGUAUAAAUAUACGAUUUUUAAUAUUCCUACAAGAUUUUGGGAUUAACAAAGUGUCCAUCACUCGAGUUGUUAGAAAGUCUUCAGAUGCUGAGACUCCCGGAUUUUCUUGCCCACUGUGUCCUUACGUCUCUGGAAGCAAAAGCCUCUUUAUAGCACACAUUUUGGACCAUGCUAAAAAUUAUCCCAAUGCAUGUCCAGUCUGCAAGAAGACAUUUUCAGGACAAGCCAGUUUAAAAGUGCACGUGUUCAGCCAUUCUGGAACACGUCCUUUUAAAUGUCAUGAAUGUGGACGUGAAUUUGCACAAAAGGGCAAUUUAAAAGCCCACGUGCAUUCGCAUGCGGCCAGAAAGUAGCUAUCUGUUUUUAAAAAAGACUAAGUAUAUUGACUUUUUAAGAUAGUUUGAAUAUUUAGUGCUUUAUAGAGGUUGUUAGCUGAACCCUAGCUUAAUAGAUGGGCCUUCACAUACCACUGAACUUGUAUAUAUUUGUUCACUUGGCUUCACUGUAGAAAAGGCCUGCUAUUUCAGGUUCAAAAUUAAUUCCUAAAUGUUUAAUUUUUUUUUUGAUAAGGCAUCCUUUUUUUGGACUAGAUAGAAUUUUACUUGUUUACAGCUCGUGAUUAAAAGGUGAAUUAAACUUUGUCCAAACAAGAUAGAUUUUCAAUUGAAAAAAAAUAAUAAUAAUAGUCAUAAAACCCUUCUUACCUUGUCAACAAUAUACCAACUUCGAAAUUUAAACCUAGUUGAUAAUUUGUAAAAUGAACUUAAUUUUGCUGCUCGAACAAUAUGCUAACAUUAAUGUAUCAUGGUGUACGGCUUGCAACAAGAACAAACAGUAUCAAACAAGUAAAAAGAGGCCAUAUCGGAACUGCCAAAAAAGCGAGUUCUUUCUAAAUCUUGCAACCAUGUCAGCUUUUUUAACAAUACAUCUAUAAAUAACUAAAAACAAAUUUUCACUCACAAGAAUUACUUAAUAUCAUAAAAAUCUUGUGAAAUACAGCUGAUUUGAGCUCAGAAAUUAUAUCUAUUUUUUUAAAUUAAAAACUUAAUUUUCCGUUUGAAAAUAUCGACUCUCAGAAUAAGCUGUAGUAAGCAACUGUAUACUUUCUAACUGGAAGUAGAGCUGGUCAAGAACUCGAGAUUGUUGUUGUUUAUAUUUAUGCUAAAACACCAUCUAUUAUAAUAUCAUGGAUUGUGGAUAAAAGUGAAACAUUUAAUUUUAAAAAUUAAAACAACAAUAGAUUCAUCAAUCAACAAAAGAUAUGUGUUCAAAUCUUAAAAGUACGCUAAGCAAAAACAAACAAAAAAUCUUUCAAUUAAUUAUUUUGAAAUAAAUUUUUAUAAAAUAUUUUCUAUGUAAUAUUUCAUAAUUAGUUUAUAAAAAUAUAUGUAAUAUUCUAUUAUUAGUUUUUAAAAAUAUGCAUUUAAAAAUAAAAACAAGUUUUACUUUUUUGAGUUUUAAAUAAGUUGUUUUCUGAAAUUUUGUACCUUUACAUUUUAUUUUUAAAUAAUACUACUCAGUCUGCUUGAAUUCAUAUGGUCUUGUGUCCAUAUUUUAAUAACUUAUCACUUAUAUAUACGAAAUAUUUGAAUUUUUUGGGGGAAGCCUAAUCAAAACUCUGCACCAUUUCACAUAACCGCUAUUUUUAAUUGUGAACUAGAACAAUAGACAAAAAAAGGUUUUUAUCAAUGUUAUCAAACUUCAGUGUGUGUGAUAAAAAUAAUGCAUAAGACGUUAGUUUGAUGGUAAUGAUUACAGUUAAUAAUUUACUAUUGCAAACUGUGGCUAAUAUAACUGAAAUUUUUGUGGUUACAUUAUUCUUUAUGUAUUUACUAAGUAGGAAGUGCUCUGUUAAAAUAUGAGUACUCAUUUUUUAUAUUAUUGUUUCUUUUCAUUUUCAUGCAAUGUUUAAUUAAUAUCUUCAGGUUUUUUAAAUUUCUUUGUCUCUCUUGUAAUUUCCAAAUAAAACCAAAUCUUUAGACUUAUAUAAAAGUUGACUGUAAAUUUCUUUUAUUUCUAUAUUAUUUUCGUGGUUUAAAAUUUUUUUUAAUCAAAUAUUUUUUGUAAUUUGAAGUAAAUUGAAAAAAGAGAAUGAUGAAUUUCAACUCCUAAGUAUAUGUUAAUGUUAUACAAUUUAAAAAGAUAUCCAUUUAGUAUGAAGAAUAUUUUUUUAAUUGUUUUCAAUAUUCUUAACCAUUUAAUUAGAAAACUUUUUUAAAAAAUAAAGUUAACAGUAACUUUUGAUGAUUUGCUUUGUAAUUGUAUGUUAAGUUUUUUAAUAAUAAUGUGGCGCCAUCUAUUGUAAUAGAAGAAUUUUAGACAACAACAAAGGAAUUUUUUUCCUUCCACUCAGUGAAAAAGCCACAUGAAAACUAUCUAAACUUAGCUGAUGUAUUAUUAAUUUAGAAUUUUUAUUAUUAUGUGAAAUUUCUUUAUCAUUGUAAUUAUUUUAAUUUUUAUUUACUUUUUUUUUGCUUUGCUUUAUUGAGUGUUUAAAAUAAGGUAGAAAUAAAUUGUAGGUUCUCUGCUUAAUUUGCUUGAUACUUGUAGUAAAAAACAAUUAAUUCUAACUAAAAAUUUAAUAUGUAAUUACUAUAAAAUUUAAUCUAAAGAAACAAGCUAUUUUUGCAAUCUUUGUUGAAGUUCUUUAUAACAGGGAAAGAGUUAAAAGUGAUGUGGUUAAAUUGGAAUAAUAAUCAAACCAAACUUAUAUAUAUGUAUAUAUAUAUUUUUUUUUCUUUCAAAAAGCAAUUUUUAUCCUUUUUGUUUGUAUGCUCAAAUAAAUGAAGAAAAUUAGAUCAAAUUGAAGAAUAAAAUAGCAUACUGCAUAAUUGUAUGUUUAGAAUAAAGUCAAAAUCCACUUUCUUUUUCAGAGUGUCCAUGCACGUGAACAAAGCUUUCAAAAUGUGUAUUUAAUAAAAUGUUUUUGGGAGAGAACUCUGUACUUCUUUUUCACGGAAUUCCCUCAAUGUCCUGGAUUGUAUGAUUUUUUUUUGGCAUAAGAACCUCAAUUGCGAAAAUUCAAGUUAGAACUAUUUAUAAAAAUUAUAAUCAUAAUUAUGUUCUUUACGUAAUAACAAAAAUAAUUUAUUCAGUAAAAGGCAAAUAACUGUAGAGGUUAUUCAAA
Parasteatoda tepidariorum (common house spider) is the source of this 3618-nucleotide long non-coding RNA. The record is from RefSeq and is a predicted model, not a curated record. NCBI's taxonomy places the organism in Eukaryota, Metazoa, Arthropoda, Arachnida, Araneae, Theridiidae.